AUCAUGGCUCAGGAUGAACGCUAGCUACAGGCUUAACACAUGCAAGUCGAGGGGAAACGAUAGGAAAAGCUUGCUUUUUCUAGGCGUCGACCGGCGCACGGGUGAGUAACGCGUAUCCAACCUGCCCAUCACUUGGGGAUAACCUUGCGAAAGUAAGACUAAUACCCAAUGAUAUCUCUAGAAGACAUCUGAAGGAGAUUAAAGAUUUAUCGGUGAUGGAUGGGGAUGCGUCUGAUUAGCUUGUUGGCGGGGUAACGGCCCACCAAGGCAACGAUCAGUAGGGGUUCUGAGAGGAAGGUCCCCCACAUUGGAACUGAGACACGGUCCAAACUCCUACGGGAGGCAGCAGUGAGGAAUAUUGGUCAAUGGACGAGAGUCUGAACCAGCCAAGUAGCGUGCAGGAUGACGGCCCUAUGGGUUGUAAACUGCUUUUAUAAGGGAAUAAAGUGAGCUACGUGUAGCUUUUUGCAUGUACCUUAUGAAUAAGGACCGGCUAAUUCCGUGCCAGCAGCCGCGGUAAUACGGAAGGUCCGGGCGUUAUCCGGAUUUAUUGGGUUUAAAGGGAGCGUAGGCCGGAGAUUAAGCGUGUUGUGAAAUGUAGAUGCUCAACAUCUGCACUGCAGCGCGAACUGGUUUCCUUGAGUACGCACAAAGUGGGCGGAAUUCGUGGUGUAGCGGUGAAAUGCUUAGAUAUCACGAAGAACUCCGAUUGCGAAGGCAGCUCACUGGAGCGCAACUGACGCUGAAGCUCGAAAGUGCGGGUAUCGAACAGGAUUAGAUACCCUGGUAGUCCGCACGGUAAACGAUGGAUGCCCGCUGUUGGUCUGAAUAGGUCAGCGGCCAAGCGAAAGCAUUAAGCAUCCCACCUGGGGAGUACGCCGGCAACGGUGCAACUCAAAGGAAUUGACGGA
RNAcentral lists this ribosomal RNA (911 nucleotides) under uncultured Bacteroidota bacterium. RNAcentral's name for it is "bacterial SSU rRNA". It matches the Rfam family "Bacterial small subunit ribosomal RNA", at positions 16 to 917 of the family's 1533-position model. The record is from RNAcentral. Lineage: Bacteria; Pseudomonadati; Bacteroidota.